GUGAACCAGCGGAGGGAUCAUUACCGAGUUUACAACUCCCAAACCCCUGUGAACAUACCACUUGUUGCCUCGGCGGAUCAGCCCGCUCCCGGUAAAACGGGACGGCCCGCCAGAGGACCCCUAAACUCUGUUUCUAUAUGUAACUUCUGAGUAAAACCAUAAAUAAAUCAAAACUUUCAACAACGGAUCUCUUGGUUCUGGCAUCGAUGAAGAACGCAGCAAAAUGCGAUAAGUAAUGUGAAUUGCAGAAUUCAGUGAAUCAUCGAAUCUUUGAACGCACAUUGCGCCCGCCAGUAUUCUGGCGGGCAUGCCUGUUCGAGCGUCAUUUCAACCCUCAAGCACAGCUUGGUGUUGGGACUCGCGUUAAUUCGCGUUCCCCAAAUUGAUUGGCGGUCACGUCGAGCUUCCAUAGCGUAGUAGUAAAACCCUCGUUACUGGUAAUCGUCGCGGCCACGCCGUUAAACCCCAACUUCUGAAUGUUGACCUCGGAUCAGGUAGGAAUACCCGCUGAACCUAAGCAUAUCA
This 525-nucleotide unclassified non-coding RNA is filed under the name Fusarium oxysporum. RNAcentral describes it as "sequence contains 18S rRNA gene, ITS1, 5.8S rRNA gene, ITS2, 28S rRNA gene". The stretch from base 172 to 325 matches the Rfam family "5.8S ribosomal RNA". The record is from RNAcentral. Lineage: Eukaryota; Fungi; Ascomycota; Sordariomycetes; Hypocreales; Nectriaceae.